Molecule: ribosomal RNA, 337 nt
Filed under: uncultured eukaryote
Lineage: Eukaryota
Description: partial 18S ribosomal RNA
Rfam family: Eukaryotic small subunit ribosomal RNA
Source: RNAcentral
CCCUUAGAUGUUCUGGGCCGCACGCGCGCUACACUGGUGCAAUCAGCGAGUAUAAAAAAAUUUUUUCUUUGUCCUGAAUCGUAAGGUUUGGGUAAUCUUGUGAAAUUGCACCGUGUUCGGGCUUGAUGCUUGUAAAUAUUUAUCAUAAACGAGGAAUCCCUAGUAAUCGCAAGUCAUCAACUUGCAAUGAUUACGUCCCUGCCCUUUGUACACACCGCCCGUCGCACCUACCGAUUGAAUGGUCCGGUGAAAUCUCGGGACGGCGGCUUGGUCGCUUGCGUCCGACCGCUGAAACUUGAUUAAACCAUAUCAUUUAGAGGAAGGUGAAGUCGUAACA